The submitters of this non-coding RNA (96 nucleotides) gave its source as unclassified sequences. The record is from Rfam.
GUCAGCCCCCAUCCUAAGCAGGCCAUCCACGGUAAGAGUUCCCAUAGGGAACCGCCUGCUUGGGUGCCCAAAAGGGCAUGUUGGGGGACAGGAGGA